Molecule: long non-coding RNA, 311 nt
Filed under: Nicotiana benthamiana
Lineage: Eukaryota; Viridiplantae; Streptophyta; Magnoliopsida; Solanales; Solanaceae
Description: long non-coding RNA (NBEN_LNC023431)
Source: RNAcentral
GCAUGUUUAAAAAUCAUUUUGACUAAAGUAAAUAUGCAUGAUUUAAAAUCAUUUAGCAUUAAAUUAAAUAUGCAUGAUUUUGUAAAAAAUAAUUUUACAGGAGAAGCCAUGUCAUGAGUCAAGUUGUCGGAUCAAGAUCACAGUUAAGAACGACUCAUGUAAAACUAUAAAACUUGGUCUUGUGCUUGAAUCUCGUUAUAUAUCAAUUGUGCGCUUGUACUUGAACUUCGUCAUAUAUCAAUUUUCGCAUCGUUUGUCAUUCAUCAAAACCUACACAUAUGAACACGUUUUAGUAUAAUGCUUUGAGAACG